GUGGAUUCCCUUCUGGUCCUCUCCAUCCCAGUGGGUAUUAAUACAUGUCAUACAGUAGCUGUGUCCACAGGGAAUAGUCACCGGAUCCUUCAGUAGAUCCAGACAGAUGGAACAAGAGAAGGUUUCUUGGUCCAGCUGAACUCCUUCCUGAGCCAUUUUCUCCUCUGAGCAGCAGCGACUGAGUUUCUCUCUCCUCCAACUCAAAUUCGAUUGAUCCUGCAGUCAAUGUGGCCUUUCAGCUCUUCCACUUCACUCCACGUUGGUUCCACCAAUCCUCACAGUGCAGAUCU
Molecule: long non-coding RNA, 290 nt
Organism: Acanthochromis polyacanthus (spiny chromis)
Lineage: Eukaryota; Metazoa; Chordata; Actinopteri; Pomacentridae
Exons: 2
Source: RefSeq, a predicted model, not a curated record